CCUACGUGUGGCUGCAGUGAGGAAUAUUGGUCAAUGGACGAGAGCCUGAACCAGCCAAGUCGCGUGAGUGAGUAAUGCUCUAUGGGUGGUAAGCCUCUUUUGUCGGGGAGCAAAAGCCGGACGUGUCCGGCUUUGAAAGUACCCGAAGAAAGAGCAUCGGCUAACUACGUGCCAGCAGCCGCGGUCAUAGGGAGGAUGCGAGCGUUAUGCGGAUUUAUUGGGUUUAAGGGGUGCGCAGGCGGAUGUUUAAGUAUGCGGUCAAAUCUUGGGGCUUAACCCCAUCCAGCCGUUGACACUGGGGAUCUAGAGUGUGCGAGAGGUAUGCGGAAUGCGUGGUGUAGCGGUGAAAUGCAUAGAUAUCACGCAGAACCCCGAUUGCGAAGGCAGCAUACCGGUGCACAACUGACGCUCAGGCACGAAAGCGUGGGUAUCGAACAGGAUUAGAUACCCGUGUAGUC
This 458-nucleotide ribosomal RNA is filed under the name uncultured bacterium. Its description in RNAcentral is "partial 16S ribosomal RNA". It matches the Rfam family "Bacterial small subunit ribosomal RNA", at positions 338 to 795 of the family's 1533-position model. The record is from RNAcentral.